GACUGCUGCGCCACGGCCGCCGGGUCGAGCCGCGCGGGCCCGUCGAAGAGCCGCCGCAGCGCCGCCGUGCGGGACCGCGCCGCCGGGAACACCGGCUGCAGGAAGUCGAAGUGGUGCAGCGUCACCAGCGGCACCACCGGGUGGGAGCCCAGCAGGCCCAGCACGUCGCCCCAGAUGUCGCACUGGUGGAACCCCAGGUGGCGGGUGAGCGGCACGCCCAGCUCCGACAUGCAGGCGUGGAUGCGGUCGUCGCUGCCGUACAGCGCCGGGUAGCGGUGCAUGCACCCGUCCUGCAUGCGCGCCAGCUGCGCGGCCAGCGCGCGGCUGAUGGCGAAGCCGCCGCCGCCGAACGCCAUGCCGUAG
This 363-nucleotide ribosomal RNA is filed under the name Triticum aestivum (bread wheat). RNAcentral's name for it is "partial small subunit ribosomal RNA". Lineage: Eukaryota; Viridiplantae; Streptophyta; Magnoliopsida; Poales; Poaceae. The record is from RNAcentral.